This is a non-coding RNA of Pseudonaja textilis, 181 nucleotides long. The record is from RefSeq and is a predicted model, not a curated record. NCBI's taxonomy places the organism in Eukaryota, Metazoa, Chordata, Lepidosauria, Squamata, Elapidae.
ACCAUUACAGCUACAGUACAUGCCUUAGUUAGCAUGAUGUGAAUACCAGGAUAUGGUACAGCUGGUGAAUGGACUUCCUUUUGGGAACGGUAAAGUGAGUAACCUCUAAUGGUGUGUUUCAAAUUUUGAUGGAAGAUUCAGGAAGAUGAUGAAGAGGAAGAGGCAAAAAAUGGCACAGAAU